AACGAACGCUGGCGGCAUGCCUAACACAUGCAAGUCGAACGAGACCUUCGGGUCUAGUGGCGCACGGGUGCGUAACGCGUGGGAAUCUGCCCUGGGGUGCGGAAUAACUCGGAGAAAUCCGUGCUAAUACCGCAUAAUGUCUUCGGACCAAAGAUUUAUCGCCCUGGGAUGAGCCCGCGUAGGAUUAGCUAGUUGGUGGGGUAAAGCCUACAAGGCGACGAUCCUUAGCUGGUCUGAGAGGAUGAUCAGCCACACUGGGACUGAGACACGGCCCAGACUCCUACGGGAGGCAGCAGUGGGGAAUAUUGGACAAUGGGCGCAAGCCUGAUCCAGCCACGCCGCGUGAGUGAUGAAGGCCUUCGGUCGUAAGACUCUGUGGGGAGGGACGGAAACGGCGGCCAUGAAGAAGUGGCGAUUGACGGUACCUCCUUAGCAAGACCGGCUAACUCGUGCCAGCAGCCGCGGUAAGAGUCACGUCG
Molecule: ribosomal RNA, 479 nt
Filed under: uncultured bacterium
Lineage: Bacteria
Description: bacterial SSU rRNA
Rfam family: Bacterial small subunit ribosomal RNA
Source: RNAcentral